AUUGAACGCUGGCGGCAGGCCUAACACAUGCAAGUCGAACGAGUGGCGGACGGGUGAGUAAUGUCUGAGAAACUGCCCGAUGGCGGGGGGUAACUACUGGAAAAGGUAGCUAAUACCGCAUACCAUCGGAUGUGCCCAGACUGGAUUAGCUAGUAGGUAGGGUAACGGCUCACCUAGGCGACGAUCCCUAGCCGGUCUGAGAGGAUGAGCAGCCACACUGGAACUGAGACACGGUCCCGACUCCUACGGGGGGCAGCAGUGGGGAAUAUUGCACAAUGGGCGCAAGCCUGAUGCAGCCAUGCCGCGUGUAUGUAGAAGGCCUUCGGGUUGUAAAGUACUUUCAGCGAGGAGGCGUUACUCGCAGAAGAAGCCCCGGCUAACUCCGUGCCAGCAGCCGCGGUAAUAC
RNAcentral lists this ribosomal RNA (406 nucleotides) under uncultured bacterium. Its description in RNAcentral is "partial 16S ribosomal RNA". It matches the Rfam family "Bacterial small subunit ribosomal RNA", at positions 30 to 526 of the family's 1533-position model. The record is from RNAcentral.